Molecule: ribosomal RNA, 1725 nt
Filed under: Triticum aestivum (bread wheat)
Lineage: Eukaryota; Viridiplantae; Streptophyta; Magnoliopsida; Poales; Poaceae
Description: partial small subunit ribosomal RNA
Source: RNAcentral
GAUUCUGACGAGUCAGCUUAAAAGUCUGUGUCUGACUUAGUUAAGGAGAUUUAACAACAUGCUGCUGGGUGGAAGGAAGUCUCUUCGCAAACGAAAGCGAAAUGUACGGUCUCGGAAGGAGGUGUACAGGAGGGGACGUUGGGGAGGUAGGUAGUCGAAGAGGUCUCGCGACAACUGAACGAGGCGGGGGUGGAGGCGGAAGCGGAGAGGCGACGGUACGAACGGUCGCCAGUCCUGCAAGCGGCAACCGAAACAGUGCGGCUGCCUGUGGGGCUACGGUUCGUGCAGGUGCUAGUCGAAGAGCAACUGCUUAACGAGCCGCUUGUCUCCGGUCCACUGGUACCCGUGCGGCCGCCGCUGCGAGAGGUCUCAGCUCGGGGUGGGUGUCACGCAGUACUUAGGCGGGUGGCGGCCCACGCGGUCCUACCGGUGGACGCCGCGGGUGGGCGCGUGAUGGUCCGUGAACGACAGGCCCAGCGGCAGCGGCCGCCACAAGAGUGCAUCGGUGUGGAAGUGCAGCAGCCCGUUGCUCAGUCGCGGAGACUAUUGGGUGUACUGUCCGGUCGCCGUGCUCUGGUCCCGGUACGGCUCGACGUACUCGACGCGCCCGCCGUACGUGGGCCGCGACGGCUUCGAGUGCAUGUGGUGCCUGAACCGGAAGAACGGCAGGUCGGUGCUGUACGUGGCGGCGCGCAGUAGCGAGACGCCCAGCUCUGAUCCACGCGUCGUGUCUCUCUGGCCGGGGUGCCGCUCUUGAAAGGACGGACGCCGACGGCGCUCUUCGCGGCGCCUCGGCACGAGGUCGAGCAGCUUCGACAAGUGGUGCUGCGGCAGGUGCCGGUACAGCUUGAGGGCCUGGAGGACGUAGUGGGGCGAGGGGUACCUGCACCUACCGUUCUUUACGCCGCCGUCGACGGACGGCUCCUAGAACGUGAGUUUGCCGACGUCCUGGCUCUACAGCUGCUCGAGCAGGCGCCUGCGUUAGCGGAGCACGGCAGGAACGGACAUCUCCACGAGCUACGUGUCGUUCCGCUUGCGUGGUUUCGGCACCUUCUACAUCGUCCCGUGCGGCUCCAAAGCACAGUACCCGUCGCAGGUGCACACCGUGUAGGGCCUCUGCUACGUCGAGCCGGCCGCACCGCGCAGGGCUUCCGUCAUGACGAGGUGGCGGAGCGGCUUGAAGAACAACCGGAGCUUCUUCGGUCCGUGGUACCGCCCCCUGCACUAGUCCAGGUUGGAGAGCGUGGGGAGGCCGUCCGGCCGAAGCCGCCGGCCCUUCCCCUAGCACCACUGGCGCUCGUGGCGCGGCAGGUCCCACUGUGCCAGCUGCGCCGAGACCUGUUCGCUGCGCAACCGCCCGCAGCACUACUACCGCUGGCUGCGAGGUACCCUCCGCUCUUCCGUCGGCUACAGGCAGUACCCCUGCUACACCGACUACGAAGGAUAGGUACCCUGCUCGUGUUUCACUCCGAAAGACCGCCAGAGGUAACGGACAAUGACACGACGUGAUACCACAGGUGUUUAAGCUGUUUCAACCCAUACUGACUUUUAAUACUCUACCCUUUAUACCGAGAAUCAAACACACACUGCUUGACGACCCAUCCUAGAACAAUAUAUACGUCCAAAUACCCGACGCUGGCCCACACGCACGUACCAUGCUCCGGCACAGCUGUGUAACGACGCGUCACGCGUGUGUCUCCUGCUUUUUUUUAAUCUCACACCACU